UAAAACCCGUCCCUCCGUUGAACCAAACGGACCCUUAGAAAAUCGAUCUUGAGAGAAAUUGAAAACGAAACUUCAUAAAAUCGCUUGAGAGAAAUUGAAAACGAAACCGCAGAGAAUCGCUCUUGAGCAAGGUCUCAUGAAUCUCGUCAUUUCCUCUUUCAACUCAGGGAAUUACCCUAACUCUAUAUUCUAAUUCUCUCACAACGAUCUGAACUCUCGCAAUUGCAACCACCAAUCGAAUCUCCGAACCCUAGCUUGUAUUUCCCCCUUUCAACUCAGUUAAACUUGUGGGAUUUUAAUCAGUUGUUAGGAAAACGCUUACAAAUAGGAAGGGCGCAGUUAGGUUAGUUCUUAAUGGCUGCUACAUCUGGGAUAGCUGAAGAGGAAACACAAGUGUCUUCUAGUGACGAGAUCGAUCCAAGGCUGGAUGUCUAUGUGUGGGACAUGGAUGAGACCUUUAUACUACUCAAUUCCUUGCUGAAAUCAUCCUAUGCCGAGGCUUGGGAGGAUGUGGGAAAAUCUCUUUCUGCAAGUGUGAUGAUAAUUUCUUCUAUGACCAAGUAAAGUUUCGAUUUCUGUACCGAAUAUUUUCCGUGGUUUGUUUUUAGUUGUGGGGUUUCUGCGUUGCAGAUUGAGAAUUACAAUAAGCCGAUUCUUGAUGUUAUGUCCAAAUAUGAUGAUGGGAAGGACCUAUCUGAUUAUGGACUGGUUUGGUAAAUACUUAGUUACAUUAUCUUAUAAUCUAUGAAGCACGGGUACUAGAAUCUAGAAACACGACACUGACGGCUACACAGUUGUGAUUAUGUUCUUUUCAUUUUUUCAAAUUAUAUUCCAGUUGAUGUGCUGAAUGUUGGAGGCGCUGGGUUGAAGUGUUGAGCCACCAAAUUACUGAGAAUGGUGCAAAUUGGAGCAUGGGUCAGAGGCAUUUGGUUUGCCUUGGUAGGUUUCCGCUUAAGAAGAGCUAAACUUUGGUGCUUGAUGAAGCCACUGCAUCAGUUGAUACAGCUACGCGGAUAAUUUGAUUCAACAUACUCUUGGGAAGCAUUUCGCUUAUUUUACCGUCAUUACCAUCGCACAUCGAAUAACUACUGUUCUUGACAGUGAUAUCGUUCUACUUCUUGAUCAAGAUUAGGAUGAAAAUCUGUUAUUUUUGUUGUUAUACUGGUUCCAACACGAGAAUUGGCUUUACAAACAUCUCAAGUAUGUAAAGAGCUUGGAAAGCUAGGUAUUAUUCACUUACAUGAGUGUUUUUUUGAGCGUCGCGGAUGUCUUAUGUCAGUAUGCUGUUCGAGGAGAGAUUGUUACACUUGCUCAGUUGCAGUGGAGCUGUUUGAAAUAGAAUCACCGUGCCGGUUUCCCUCAGGCCACCGCGAGCUUCAUCUCCUCAGGGUGAGUAUUAUUUUUCCCUAAUCAAUCAGUUUAACUCUUGAUCUAAAAAUCCCUGAAUUCUCAUGACGGCCGUCAUUAUUGCAAGUUUAAUUUCACUGAGGAGUUUCGGAGAAUUCGAACCUCAUUAUGGUCCAGUGGUGCAAACAUCUAAAAAUACUAUGGAACUACGAGGUAUGCGAAUGGAAGAAGCUGCUAUCCAUAUUGGCAAUUAACGCAAGUCAGCCAUAUUCAGUUCUCUUUGUAAUACAUGGGAUGGGCACCAGUGCUAUUAAAGAUUCCACCAGCUGAUACACUAUAGGACAGAGGAUUCAGGAGAUGUCAAUGGCAUUUACCAGAAAUUGUGUUCUCUCUUUCAGCCAAGAUUCUAGAAAAUGGGAAGACAACCAUGUUGUGAUAAGGUUGGUUUGAAGAGAGGACCAUGGACUAUUGAGGAAGAUCAUAAGCUUGUGAGUUUUAUCCUUAAUAAUGGGAUUCAUUGUUGGAGAGUGGUUCCUAAACUUGCAGAUUGAUGAGAAUGUGGCAAGAGAGAUUAUCAACCACAGGUCUCUUCGGCACCCGAAUAUAAUUCGCUUUAAGGAGGCUAGGUAUUUUUUCAGCCGCUGAUAUCUGGUGUCCAUUACUGUCAUGCUAUGCAAAUAUGUCAUAGAGAUUUGAAGCUGGAAAUUACACUGUUAGAUGUAUGUGUUUUUUUGUAGUACAGGAAAGUUUAUAUUCUGUUUUGUAUUUAUUGUAUCUAGCUAUUUUCCAGGAUUUACCUGCCGAAAUUAUUACCCACGAAGGUUUUAGCUGGGGACGAAUAACCGCAGGAAAAUCCGCAGGUAACAUGUUUCCUGCGGGAAUUUAGCUAAAAUUCGCAGAUCUGAUCAACCUUGAUCUUUCAAGAACCACCAAGCAACUCAUUGAUGAAUACAUAAGAUCAGACAGUUACUUACCCUUCAGACCUCCCAGAUGGAAUUAUGAUCAAGCGACAAGAAAGUGAAGUUGUUUUAUACUCUGAUUUUCUUUAAUGAUAAUAUUGUGUUCAAUGUUUUUUUAUGGAAUUUUUGAAAUUUACUUAUUUGAUUUUUUAUUGAAAACAGCCCACAAUUUUCUUUAAAUGAUGUUUAUAAUAUUUUUAUUGUUAUUUUUUUUUGACCUACUUAAGUUUCUAUUUUGAUAAUUUUUUUCCUUCCUCUGAAAGUCAGGAAAUUGCUCGAUGUUUAUGAAAAAUUUAAGGUUUCUGACUUUGGCUUGACUGCAUUGACUAAGCAGGUAAGAAUGUGUUCUACUUACAUAAGAAGAUGACAAUAAUCUAUAUUUUCUUAAGCAAAAGAUGUAUUGGUUUAGUUUGUAACAGAAUAAUAGCUUCUUGAUUUUCACCUAUUCAACUUAAAUUGUAUUGUGAAUUAUGUAUUGGUCUUAUGCUGAUGUUACACAACAUAAGCCUGUUUUAAAAAAUAUGAAAGUU
Molecule: RNA transcript, 2836 nt
Organism: Vicia villosa (hairy vetch)
Lineage: Eukaryota; Viridiplantae; Streptophyta; Magnoliopsida; Fabales; Fabaceae
Exons: 15
Source: RefSeq, a predicted model, not a curated record